RNAcentral lists this ribosomal RNA (477 nucleotides) under uncultured bacterium. RNAcentral's name for it is "SSU rRNA". It matches the Rfam family "Bacterial small subunit ribosomal RNA", at positions 26 to 523 of the family's 1533-position model. The record is from RNAcentral.
AGGACGAACGCUGGCGGCGUGCUUAACACAUGCAAGUCGAACGGAAAGGCCCUUCGGGGUACUCGAGUGGCGAACGGGUGAGUAACACGUGGGUGAUCUGCCCUGCACUUCGGGAUAAGCCUGGGAAACUGGGUCUAAUACCGGAUAUGACCAUGGGAUGCAUGUCUUGUGGUGGAAAGCUUUUGCGGUGUGGGAUGGGCCCGCGGCCUAUCAGCUUGUUGGUGGGGUGAUGGCCUACCAAGGCGACGACGGGUAGCCGGCCUGAGAGGGUGUCCGGCCACACUGGGACUGAGAUACGGCCCAGACUCCUACGGGAGGCAGCAGUGGGGAAUAUUGCACAAUGGGCGCAAGCCUGAUGCAGCGACGCCGCGUGGGGAUGACGGCCUUCGGGUUGUAACCCGUUUCAGUAGGACGAAGCGCAAGUGACGGUACCUACAGAAGAAGGACCGGCCAACUACGCGCCAGCAGCCGCGGUAA